AAAGUCGUAACAAGGUUUCCGUAGGUGAACCUGCGGAAGGAUCAUUAAUAGAAGUUAUGCCCUCAUUUUUUUGGGGGGUAAACCUCGAACCCUUUGUUGUACUUGACUUUGUUGCUUUGGCGGGUAGUAAAAGCCUUAAGAAAGCUUAGGCUUUAGUUUUUCAACUCCCGCCAGAGGAAAUUAAAAUUCUGAAUAUUUGUUGUCCGAGUUUAAUUACAAAUUAAAAAAACUUUCAACAACGGAUCUCUUGGUUCUG
Molecule: unclassified non-coding RNA, 256 nt
Filed under: Ascomycota sp.
Lineage: Eukaryota; Fungi; Ascomycota
Description: partial contains small subunit ribosomal RNA, internal transcribed spacer 1, and 5.8S ribosomal RNA
Rfam family: Eukaryotic small subunit ribosomal RNA (bases 1-47)
Source: RNAcentral